Molecule: unclassified non-coding RNA, 167 nt
Filed under: soil metagenome
Description: partial contains 5.8S ribosomal RNA, internal transcribed spacer 2, and large subunit ribosomal RNA
Source: RNAcentral
AACCAUAGAAACCUGCGGAGUACCUGCGGAGGGAUCAUAACUGGUUAAACUUUAUAAACACCAGAGUUUCAAACUCUGUGUUUGCAAACAAAAAACACCCUUCAAAACAGCUAUUCAGUGUCUGAAUUAACUAGUUUAAUAUAAAAACAACUUUCAACAAUGGAUCU